AUACGGAGGGGGCUAGCGUUGUUCGGAAUUACUGGGCGUAAAGCGCGUGUAGGCGGAUCGUUAAGUCAGGGGUGAAAGCCCGGGGCUCAACCCCGGAACUGCCCUUGAUACUGGCGAUCUAGAGUCCGGAAGAGGUGGGCGGAAUUCCCGGUGUAGAGGUGAAAUUUGUAGAUAUCGGGAGGAACACCAGUGGCGAAGGCGGCUCACUGGUCCGGCACUGACGCUGAGACGCGAAAGCGUGGGGAGCAAACAGGAUUAGAUACCCUAGUAGUCC
This 274-nucleotide ribosomal RNA is filed under the name uncultured bacterium. RNAcentral's name for it is "partial 16S ribosomal RNA". It matches the Rfam family "Bacterial small subunit ribosomal RNA", at positions 523 to 796 of the family's 1533-position model. The record is from RNAcentral.